Molecule: ribosomal RNA, 460 nt
Filed under: uncultured bacterium
Lineage: Bacteria
Description: partial 16S ribosomal RNA
Rfam family: Bacterial small subunit ribosomal RNA
Source: RNAcentral
CCUACGGGGUGCAGCAGUGAGGAAUAUUGGUCAAUGGCCGUAAGGCUGAACCAGCCAAGUCGCGUGAAGGAAGAAGGAUCUAUGGUUUGUAAACUUCUUUUAUAGGGGAAUAAAGGUAUCCACGUGUGGAUAUUUGCAUGUACUCUAUGAAUAAGCAUCGGCUAACUCCGUGCCAGCAGCCGCGGUAAUACGGAGGAUGCGAGCGUUAUCCGGAUUUAUUGGGUUUAAAGGGUGCGUAGGUUGUUUUUUAAGUCAGCGGUGAAAGUUUGUGGCUCAACCAUAAAAUUGCCGUUGAAACUGGAAGACUUGAGUGUGUUUGAGGUAGGCGGAAUUCGUGGUGUAGCGGUGAAAUGCAUAGAUAUCACGCAGAACUCCGAUUGCGAAGGCAGCUUACUAAGCCAUAACUGACACUGAUGCACGAAAGCGUGGGUAUCAAACAGGAUUAGAUACCCUAGUAGUC